UACGAAGGGGGCUAGCGUUGUUCGGAAUCACUGGGCGUAAAGCGCACGCAGGCGGAUUGAUAAGUCGGGGGUGAAAUCCCGGGGCUCAACCUCGGAAUUGCCUUCGAUACUGUCUGUCUUGAGUCCGGGAGAGGUGAGUGGAAUUCCUAGUGUAGAGGUGAAAUUCGUAGAUAUUAGGAAGAACACCAGUGGCGAAGGCGGGUCUCUGGGCCGAUACUGACGCUGAGGAGCGAAAGCGUGGGGAGCGAACAGG
Molecule: ribosomal RNA, 253 nt
Filed under: uncultured bacterium
Lineage: Bacteria
Description: partial 16S ribosomal RNA
Rfam family: Bacterial small subunit ribosomal RNA
Source: RNAcentral